This 913-nucleotide long non-coding RNA is filed under the name Helianthus annuus (common sunflower). The record is from RNAcentral. Lineage: Eukaryota; Viridiplantae; Streptophyta; Magnoliopsida; Asterales; Asteraceae.
AUGUCGACCAGGAACAAGGAAAGGAGGGAAGAACCCUAACUCCUCAAAAAUCUUCAAAAUUGGAAGGGGAAUUCAGCUCAAACCCGAUGCAUGAACCCUAAUAUAUGAUCAUCAAGGCUUGCUGAACAUGUGGAAUCAUGUCAAGAUGGAUGGGAGCGUUGAAGUCCAACGGGCUAAGAAGACUCAAUCAAGUAAGCGAACGCAAAUACGGACGCGCAAGGUAAGUGAAUCCCGGACUUACACUUUAGAUGUAAAAUGUAUUGUAGUAUGAUGAUUAUUGUGAAACGUGUGAGAAAGUAUGAGACAAUGGAAGUAAUAAGGUAAGUUUACGGUAAAUGAGUCGAAAGUAGUUAAGAAAUAGUUUCUAUUAAGUGUAGGUAAGGAAGAAUCUUACGUGAUGAUAUUAUGCAUAAAGAUGGAAUAAGUAGUUAUACGCGUAGGUAUGGGUAUAAUUGUAAGUAAGCAAUUGGGACUCAUAGGAGACUUUGACUAUGAACACGUAAGUGUGGAUAAUUAUGUGUAUACAAUUUACAUGUAUAGGUGGGUGUGUUUAGGAUUUACAAGUAAUAUGUGUAGAAUGUAAAUUUGUAAGUUCAUAUGAGCUUUGUUUAUCUUAAAUGUAAAUUUACGAGUAGUGGUAUUUGGUACUAUGGAUUGUUGUAAAUGUUCAUAACGGGUCAAAGGAUGUAAAUAUAUUGGAAAGCAUGUUAUGUAGCGAUUCAUUACGAAUGGGUCAAAAGGUGAUAAGUUGGAUGUUUCAAAUGGAAGUAAAGAUGCUAAUAAGGUAACAUGUUAUGUUAACGGGUCGAACAAUGAUAGGUAAUUUAAAGGAUUUUAAAUUACUAUGUAUUAUGAACUAACAAUGUUGUUGUUAUGAAUGUUAGGUAAAUUUAUUGCUUGAUGCGGCGCACCC